GGAGAGGUGGCUGAGUGGUUUAAGGCGACGGUCUUGAAAACCGUUGUGCGUUCACGCGUACCGUGGGUUCGAAUCCCACCCUCUCCGCAA
This 90-nucleotide transfer RNA is filed under the name Phaeodactylibacter sp. RNAcentral describes it as "tRNA-Ser". It matches the Rfam family "tRNA". From Rfam's summary of the family: Transfer RNA (tRNA) molecules are approximately 80 nucleotides in length. The record is from RNAcentral. Lineage: Bacteria; Pseudomonadati; Bacteroidota; Saprospiria; Saprospirales; Haliscomenobacteraceae.